GAUGAAGAACGUAGCAAAAUGCGAUACUUGGUGUGAAUUGCAGAAUCCCGUGAACCAUCGAGUUUUUGAACGCAAGUUGCGCCCGAAGCCUUUUGGCCGAGGGCACGUCUGCCUGGGCGUCACGCAUCGCGUCGCCCCCCACAAUUCUCCGUAAAGGGAACAUGUGUUUUGGGGGCGGAUAUUGGUCUCCCGUGCUCAUGGCGUGGUUGGCCGAAAUAGGAGUCCUUUCGAUGGACGCACGAACUAGUGGUGGUCGUAAAAACCCUCGUCUUUUGUUUCGUGCUGUUGCUCGCAAAGUAAACUCUUUAAAAACCCCAAUGUGUCGUCUCUUGACGACGCUUCGACCGCGACCCCAGGUCAGGCGGGACUACCCGCUGAGUUUAAGCAUAUCAAUAAGGGAGGA
This 403-nucleotide unclassified non-coding RNA is filed under the name soil metagenome. RNAcentral describes it as "partial contains 5.8S ribosomal RNA, internal transcribed spacer 2, and large subunit ribosomal RNA". The stretch from base 1 to 122 matches the Rfam family "5.8S ribosomal RNA", at positions 35 to 154 of the family's 154-position model. The record is from RNAcentral.